ACAGCUCACCAGCCCAUCCUUAUGCGUGGUGCUUCUGACUUCUGGCCCCUGCUCAGCCCCACCAACACUAAGCCGGGGCCAGAUCUCAGAAGCAUUGUGCAUAAUCAUGUGCCUCUAGCUGU
RNAcentral lists this microRNA precursor (122 nucleotides) under Sorghum bicolor (sorghum). RNAcentral describes it as "miR6221 stem-loop (sbi-MIR6221)". The record is from miRBase by way of RNAcentral. Lineage: Eukaryota; Viridiplantae; Streptophyta; Magnoliopsida; Poales; Poaceae.